RNAcentral lists this ribosomal RNA (460 nucleotides) under uncultured bacterium. Its description in RNAcentral is "partial 16S ribosomal RNA". It matches the Rfam family "Bacterial small subunit ribosomal RNA", at positions 338 to 795 of the family's 1533-position model. The record is from RNAcentral.
CCUACGGGAGGCAGCAGUGAGGAAUAUUGGUCAAUGGACGGAAGUCUGAACCAGCCAUGCCGCGUGCAGGAAGACGGCUCUAUGAGUUGUAAACUGCUUUUGUACAAGGGUAAACCUGAAUACGUGUAUUCAGCUGAAAGUACUGUACGAAUAAGGAUAGGCUAACUCCGUGCCAGCAGCCGCGGUAAUACGGAGGAGCCAAGCGUUAACCGGAUUUAUGGGGGUUAAAGGGUGCGUAGGCGGAUUGAUAAGUUAGAGGUGAAAUGUCCGAGCUUAACUCGGGAACUGCCUCUAAUACUGUUGAUCUAGAGAGUAGUUGCGGUAGGCGGAAUGUAUGGUGUAGCGGUGAAAUGCUUAGAGAUCAUACAGAACACCGAUUGCGAAGGCAGCUUACCAAGCUACUUCUGACGUUGAGGCACGAAAGCGUGGGGAGCAAACAGGAUUAGAUACCCCAGUAGUC